This 183-nucleotide RNase P RNA is filed under the name Candidatus Omnitrophota bacterium. RNAcentral describes it as "partial RNase P RNA component class A". It matches the Rfam family "Bacterial RNase P class A", at positions 195 to 367 of the family's 367-position model. From Rfam's summary of the family: Ribonuclease P (RNase P) is a ubiquitous endoribonuclease, found in archaea, bacteria and eukarya as well as chloroplasts and mitochondria. Its best characterised activity is the generation of mature 5'-ends of tRNAs by cleaving the 5'-leader elements of precursor-tRNAs. Lineage: Bacteria; Pseudomonadati; Candidatus Omnitrophota. The record is from RNAcentral.
CCUCCGGUUUUGCAAGCCCCGCCCGCGGCAAGACCAAAUAGGGGACGAGGGUUGGCCUGUCCCGUUCGGAGUCCCGGGUUGGUCGCUCGAGCCCGAUGGAAACGUCGGGCCUAGAUGAAUGAUGGUCGCCCCUCCCCUCAACGGGAGGGGUCACAGAAUCCGGCUUACACCUCGGACCCGCUU